Molecule: ribosomal RNA, 647 nt
Filed under: Claviceps sp. HYP
Lineage: Eukaryota; Fungi; Ascomycota; Sordariomycetes; Hypocreales; Clavicipitaceae
Description: eukaryotic LSU rRNA
Rfam family: Eukaryotic large subunit ribosomal RNA
Source: RNAcentral
UGACCUCGAAUCAGGUAGGAAUACCCGCUGAACUUAAGCAUAUCAAUAAGCGGAGGAAAAGAAACCAACAGGGAUUGCCCCAGUAACGGCGAGUGAAGCGGCAACAGCUCAAAUUUGAAAUCUGGCCCCCCGGGGCCCGAGUUGUAAUUUGCAGAGGAUGCUUUUGGCGAGGCGCCUUCCGAGUUCCCUGGAACGGGACGCCAUAGAGGGUGAGAGCCCCGUCUGGUUGGACGCCGAGCCUCUGUAAAGCUCCUUCGACGAGUCGAGUAGUUUGGGAAUGCUGCUCUAAAUGGGAGGUAUAUGUCUUCUAAAGCUAAAUACCGGCCAGAGACCGAUAGCGCACAAGUAGAGUGAUCGAAAGAUGAAAAGCACUUUGAAAAGAGGGUUAAAUAGUACGUGAAAUUGUUGAAAGGGAAGCGCUUGUGACCAGACUUGGGCCCGGCGGAUCACCCAGCGUUCUCGCUGGUGCACUCCGGCGCGGCCCAGGCCAGCAUCAGCUCGUCCCGGGGGACAAAGGCGGCGGGAAUGUGGCUCCUCCGGGAGUGUUAUAGCCCACCGCGCAAUGCCCUGGGGCGGGCUGAGGACCGCGCAUCUGCAUGGAUGCUGGCGUAAUGGUCAUCAGCGACCCGUCUUGAAACACGGACCAA